AUCAUACGCGGAAUCGAGACGAAUCAAAGUAUGGAUGUGUUCAAGAGAGUCACUCCGAUAAGAUAAGCAAGGCGCAGAAUAAAACUUACAAAAUCGAAGCUCCGACGCGGUGGCUCUCCGGUGAUUGUGCAGGUAUUGAAUUCCUCUUCCUCUUUCCCUUUGCUCUUCUUUUUCUUUGCAGCUCUCUGCUACAUGAGAUGAAUCGAGAGGGCACAUGUUUGUGAGGAAUUAGAGAGGGAUUUGAAGAGAAUUGAAGAGUG
This 260-nucleotide long non-coding RNA is filed under the name Lathyrus oleraceus (garden pea). Its description in RNAcentral is "Pisum sativum (pea) long non-coding RNA (PSAT_LNC032723)". Lineage: Eukaryota; Viridiplantae; Streptophyta; Magnoliopsida; Fabales; Fabaceae. The record is from RNAcentral.